Molecule: long non-coding RNA, 335 nt
Organism: Triticum aestivum (bread wheat)
Lineage: Eukaryota; Viridiplantae; Streptophyta; Magnoliopsida; Poales; Poaceae
Exons: 2
Source: RefSeq, a predicted model, not a curated record
CCUCGGCACCCCUCACGAUCUCAUCCGCAGUUCUCUCGCGCCGCUUCUCUCCUCCGUCGCCUCGCCUCGCCUCUGCCUCUCCGUCUCGCCGCUGCUAACUUCCUCACGUUGGCGCACGGCUGCUACCUCCCUCCCUGCACCGUGCAAUCCCAUUGCUCUCCACGCGUAAAGCCAAACCAGGAGGAUCGGAGCGACCUGUAGCCAUUGACCUGCUCCGGUGAACGCCGACGGGGCUGAGCUCCAAGUGCCCUGCUCUUCUGCCCGGCCCACAGCAUGGAGGCCUUGGAGUUGUUCAAGAAGACCAAGGACCACCACAAACUCCCUUUCGAAGAUGU